GCGGAAGUGGCGGAACUGGCAGACGCAUUAGCUUGAGGGGCUAACGGUAGCAAUACUGUGGGGGUUCAAAUCCCCCCUUCCGCA
RNAcentral lists this transfer RNA (84 nucleotides) under Candidatus Omnitrophota bacterium. RNAcentral's name for it is "Candidatus Omnitrophica bacterium tRNA-Leu". It matches the Rfam family "tRNA". From Rfam's summary of the family: Transfer RNA (tRNA) molecules are approximately 80 nucleotides in length. Lineage: Bacteria; Pseudomonadati; Candidatus Omnitrophota. The record is from RNAcentral.